UAUGCUUAGGGCUACACACGUGCUACAAUGGGUAGUACAGAGGGUUGCCAAGCCGUAAGGUGGAGCUAAUCCCUUAAAGCUACUCUCAGUUCGGAUUGUAGGCUGAAACUCGCCUACAUGAAGCUGGCGUUACUAGUAAUCGCAGAUCAGAAUGCUGCGGUGAAUGCGUUCCCGGGUCUUGUACACACCGCCCGUCACACCACGGGAGUUGGAG
This 214-nucleotide ribosomal RNA is filed under the name Clostridioides difficile. RNAcentral describes it as "partial 16S ribosomal RNA". It matches the Rfam family "Bacterial small subunit ribosomal RNA", at positions 1203 to 1416 of the family's 1533-position model. The record is from RNAcentral. Lineage: Bacteria; Bacillati; Bacillota; Clostridia; Peptostreptococcales; Peptostreptococcaceae.